Notothenia coriiceps (black rockcod) is the source of this 447-nucleotide long non-coding RNA. RefSeq lists it as uncharacterized. The transcript is spliced from 3 exons. The record is from RefSeq and is a predicted model, not a curated record. NCBI's taxonomy places the organism in Eukaryota, Metazoa, Chordata, Actinopteri, Perciformes, Nototheniidae.
CGCGGCAGCAGUCUGUGUCAAAUUAAGAAGGAGAUUAUUUUUCGCGUUGUUUUGGACUUUCUUUGCACUUCGCAAGUCUUUUUGCACCAAAACGUCGCUUUGGAUAACAGCCUUAUAUUUGCUUUUGUAACCUGUUUACGUCGAAGUGACAGAUUUGACAGCAGAAGAUCACCUGGUGCAGGUAUGCUGCAGGUUGAUGGAUGAACUGUUGGAUGGAUUCAUCGAUUCAUUCGUUUGUCUCCGGUUUCACUGCUGCUCUUCUUCCCUCUGUCCUCUCCCUCCAUUGCUGUCGAACUCCUCGGCUUGUGAGCGGAUGAAUGCGAAAUCUCGUGAUUGUACCUUCGCCCAAAGGACUCCAUGUCUUUCUUGGAUUGUUCCUGCAUUUCCCACACUCAAGUCCAGCCGUUGGACAUAGAGGAGCGCUAUGAGGACAUCAGCCACCAGUUU